GCUGUCCAUUUUCAUUGCACUUUGCUCCAUUGUGGUAUUGACAUUCUGCAAGAACGAGUCCCAGUAUCAAGUCACUGUUACGGUGUUGUUGGUACCAUUGAUUAACAUAACACUUGACGGCCAUACUUGGUCAUGUUGUAUGUUAUCAGCUUCACAGAGGUACAUGUGGCACUUUAACAGUUAUUUGAUACAGUGACUAGGCUGCAGUUGAGCGAAACCACAAUGGAGUGAAGUGCAACAGAAAUGAACAUU
RNAcentral lists this non-coding RNA (252 nucleotides) under Oryza sativa (Asian cultivated rice). RNAcentral also lists the same sequence under 2 other names. Lineage: Eukaryota; Viridiplantae; Streptophyta; Magnoliopsida; Poales; Poaceae. The record is from miRBase by way of RNAcentral.